Molecule: long non-coding RNA, 6099 nt
Filed under: Olea europaea subsp. europaea
Lineage: Eukaryota; Viridiplantae; Streptophyta; Magnoliopsida; Lamiales; Oleaceae
Source: RNAcentral
CUUAUACGCAAAAAACUAGGUUCAAAAUAAAUGAAUUUUUUUUUUUUUUUUGGUCUGGUCAUAGUUGAAAAUAAGCAAGAGUUUCUCCCAAAAUAAGUAACCUUUUUACUUAAAGUAACAUUUGUAGAGCAUGUUUGGUGGUUCUUAAAAUGUACUUGUAGUUGUCUAUAAAGUAAGUUAAGCAUGUUUUGUUAGUGAAGAAACAUUAACUCUGAAAAUCCUAUUCGGUAAAAUAAGUAAUUGAAAAGUAAGUUUAGUUUACUUUCAUGCAAACAUGCAUAUUUGGAAUGAAAUUAGUUAAAUGAAUACUUAUAAAAAAAUUUAGCUAAGCCAAACAUGAUAAAGAGCAACUAUAUGUGUUUGGAUACUAGCCAAACCUCAACAUUUUAUAAUUAAUUUUCUUCUAUUUACUUAUUUAUUUUGAUCAGGCUGAUACUGAAACUGAUGAAGUCUAUGCUCAGAUGACUCUUCAACCUGUAAGCAAUGCAAGUCAGGUAUUAAAUUUGAGAAUUUAUUUACAUAACAAUACUUUAUAGGAAAAAAUGUGGUACAGCAUGAUAACUUAUCUGAAGAAGCAUUGAAUUUAUCAUCCUACAGUACGACCAGGAAGCUCUACUUUUAUCUGAGAUGGGACUUAAGCAAAGCAGGCAACCUUCUGAGUUCUUCUGCAAGACUCUUACAGCAAGUGAUACGAGUACGCACGGCGGUUUCUCCGUACCUCGUCGAGCAGCCGAGAAGAUCUUUCCUUCUCUGGUUUGUGUUAAGCAUUUGACAUUUCCGCAUAAAUUGAGAUGAUAAAAUUGUCAGCAUGUCUGGCUGUGCUUUUACUUUUCUUGGAAGUAUGCAGUAUAAACAUACUUCACUAAAAAGGAGCUUAAAAGCUGAUAUAAGUACAGCCAAACCUGCUCGAAUUCAGCUCAUUCUGCUACUUACCUGGAAAAUUUCUUGCAGGAUUUUUCGAUGCAGCCUCCUGCUCAGGAGCUAGUGGCUAAAGAUUUGCAUGACCAAUCAUGGACAUUCAGACAUAUAUAUAGGGGUAUUUGUUUCUAGAAUGUAUAUCCUUUGGUACUGUAUUUGUUUUAAAAUUCUCAAGGAUGUAUCAAGAAAAAGAUAUUAACUCUACUCUAUUAGAAUCCUCUCUUCCUGAAUAUUACUUCUAGAUAGACUACACAGAAAAUUGUAAAUACAUCUUGGAAAAAAUUAGAAUCAAACAUGCUCCUUUGAUUAUAUAUUCGUUCAAUGUUAAUUUGUCAUGAAAUUAUGAUUCUGAGAAAUGGUUUGCUAUGCCCUUUAUGUAAAUUAUUAUUUUUAUCAAUUAAGGACGCUAUAAGUCAAUUUGAUUUUACUUGCGAGUAUUCCAUAUGCAAAUAUACAUUACUUCAUAAAUAUUUCGAGUUCAUUUGAUGGUUACAGUUAGAUUUGUACCAUUUCUGCAUGUAAACCUCUAGAUUUGGUUACUUUUUCUUUUUGCUCACUUUACACAAGACUAGAUUCCUGGAAUAUCUCAUCGGGAUACACUCUCUUUGGAGCCACCUAAUAACGCUACUGAGAAAUAUUUCAUCUUAAUUAUUGGGAAUAAAACUUGAUUUUUGUUGUUGUAGUUCUGACCUGUUCUUGAUCAUCAAUCAUAGUUUGGAACAUAAAGUUAAAGACUACUUGUGCUUGAUUCCAGGUCAACCCAAAAGGCACCUGUUGACAACUGGAUGGAGUGUAUUUGUUAGCUCUAAAAGACUUACGGCAGGCGAUUCUGUCCUUUUCAUAAGGUACGGAAUAUUUGAAUUAAAAGCAUAGUUGGUUAAGCUUAACUGAACAUGUUUGGAAACAAAAAAGUGAGUUUCACUUGUUUUUAAGCUUAGCCAAACAUUCUCUCUGUUUGUGCUUAGCGUUAUCCUUGUCACUGAACUGCAAAAGUGUGAUAUAGAGACGAAAAGUCACAUCUUCUCUUGGGUAUAAGACAUGCUACCAGACAGCAGCCUGCUAUCUCCUCGUCUGUCAUAUCUAGUGACAGCAUGCACAUGGGAGUUCUUGCAGCUGCAGCUCAUGCGGCUGGGAACAACAGCCCAUUUAAGAUAUUCUACAACCCAAGGUAGUCGAACUAAUACCUUUUUCAACUGUUAAAGUACACUGGAUUAACUUUGUGAAAUUUUUUGAUUCCCUGAUGAAACCUAAACUUUUACAGGGCUAGCCCUUCUGAAUUUGUUAUUCCUCUUGCAAAGUAUAACAAAGGAAUGUAUACCCAAGUUUCAUUAGGUAUGCGUUUCAGGAUGAUGUUUGAGACUGAGGAAUCCGGAGUCCGCAGGUACAUGGGUACCAUUACUGGCAUUGGUGAUUUGGACCCAGUGCGAUGGAAAAAUUCACAGUGGCGUAACCUUCAGGUACUGGUUUUCUCUUUUCAUUUUGCUGAAAGUCUUCAACAUUUAUCUUUAGUGUGUAUGAUCAUGAACAUUUAGAACUUCGUGAUCGCUGUUCUACUCUCUUGGAAACUAAAUUUUUCCACUGCCCACCUAGGAUAUAACUCGACUGGUUGGUAAAUAUGUUGUCUAUAAUCAGUUUUUAGGCUAGCUUCUCUCAGUUUACCAUGCUAAAAGCUGCAUCUCAUUUUUGGUUUUGGCUUUUCUCCAAAUAUGUGCAUUGUAUCUUUCCAAUUUUUAUGUUUUCCUCUGCCGUAAUUGACCUUCAUUAAUUUCUAAUCAUGGUUUAGAUGUAUCCAAAAGAUUUAUCCUUGAUAUAUUCUACUACAAACGUCUUUUCCUCGAAACUUAUUCGAUUUCUAGAUCUCAUAAUCAAUUAUCAUUACUUUCGUUAGGUUGGAUGGGAUGAAUCUACUGCUGGGGAACGUCCUAGUCGAGUAUCAAUUUGGGAAAUCGAACCUAUUGUGACUCCCUUCUAUAUUUGUCCACCACCAUUUUUCAGACCUAAGUUUUCGAAACAACCAGGUUUCCCAGGUAAUCCAAGUUGACCACUUAUCUAUCUUUUAUUAUUCUGGGAUGUCAAACAGCUAUAAGUUACAAAUUUGUAUUAGUUUUAUUUGGUGUGUUUGUGGGAGACUGAAUGUGUCCAUAAGUUUUUGUUGAAAUUGCAAUAAUUUGUUGCAAAUGUUCAAAUUUUCCUCAAACUCGUGUUUUUACAGAUGAUGAUUCCGAUAUAGAGAAUAUUUUCAAGAGAGGCAUGCCCUUGAUUGGAGAGGACUAUGGUUUAAAAGAUACCUCAAGCUUCAUAUUCCCCGGGAUGAGUUUAGUUCAGUGGAUGAACAUGCAGCAGAAUCAACAGUUCACAGCUAAUCAGUCUGGACUUUUCCCGGACGGGCUCUCUUCAACUAACCUACACGGUAACCUUGGAACUGACGACUGCUCCAAGCUGUUGAAUUUCCAAUCCCCGGCCUUUGCUUCCCAAAAUCUCCAACUCAGCAAAAUCAAUCAACAAGUUGGACAACUUCAACAGCAGCCGUCUUCUGCGUGGCCCCAACAGCAGCCGCUGCAGCAAAUGUUAACGUCUUCUAUAAACCCUAUAAAUAAUGGUGUAGCUCCUGACCAGAAUCCAUAUCAAAAUUCACAGCAAACAGCAAUUAUCUCCCAACAACUUCAGCAACAACAGUUAAUAAGAGGCAAUACACAAAUGCAGCAAAAUGUUCCCUCAGCAAACAAAAGUACAGUACCCAUGAUAUCUUUACCUCAGGACACUCAGUUUCAGCAACAUAUUGAACAACCAUCUAGCCUUGUGCAGAGGCCCCAGCAACAGCAGACAGAAAUGCAACAAACUCGGCCACAAUUUCCGCAGCCAAUCUCAAUACAAAAGCCACAAGGGAAACAGACAUCACAACAGAGUAUUUCGGAACAUCAGCUGCAAAUGCAGAUUCUCCAGAAACAUCAGCAGCAACAGCAGCUGCAACAGGUGCCGUCCCCUGUAAGUUCUUUUUUGGAGCCUCCGUUUUCCCAACAACAACAGGCUCUUCAACAAAACCAGCAAGCUCAGCAUUUCAGCAGCACCGGCUUUUCAGCAUCAACACUUGUGCAAUCACCACAAUUUCCUGUCAACCAACUCUACAGCCAGCAAAAGUCUACGUUCACUGUCAAAUCACAUUCCGAACCAGCUGAUGCGGCUGGCCCAUCAUGUUCAAUCGCACCUUGUACAAACAAUAUGCAAGCUUCGCUGUCGAACUUUCUGAACAGAAAUCAAUUGGGAUCAGCUGCAUUACUUGAUAAUUCGGUUAUUCAUCCUGUUCCUAGUUUAGCUCCAGAGUCUCAUAGCAAGGCUGAUAUCCUAAUAAAAAGUGAUUUACCUAGUUAUAAAGGACCGAAGCAGCCUAAAUACCGAAAUACAGCUAAAGAUCACUUGGAUGCAGCUUCAAGCGCAACAUCGUAUUGCUUGGAUGCUAGUGGGCGGCAGAACUUUUCUCUUGCUGGCUUGGAUGGUGACAUUCAAUCACAUCCCCAGAGCAGUCUUCCUUUCACAAGCAGUAUUGAUGGAUUGACACCUGAUGCUUUGUUGUCAAGGGGUUGUGAUUCCGGGAAGGAUAUCCAAAACUUGCUCUCUAAUUACAGUGGUAAUCCAAGGGAUAAUGAAACAGAAUUUUGCUCUGCUGGAAUCAAUUCUCAAACAUUUGGGUUGCCAAAGAUGUCAUUUAACGCCAGUUGUUCAAAUGAUGCUGGGAUCAAUGAGGCUGGUGUUUUAAAUAGUGGGUUGUGGCCAAACCAGAUUCAGCGUAUGCGAACAUACACAAAGGUCUCUCUCUCUCUCUCUCUCUCAAACACACUGUUACACACACACGCACACUCUUCAAACUGGUCACCUGCCAAGUUCCCCCGCCACAAAAAUAGAAAAAUGAAAAAAAAUUACAGCAUAAUAGAAUCCAUCUACAUUCUCUUUGAGAACACUUACACGAAGGAACCGUAAUAUGAAAUAAAUUUUAUCUAAUUUCUUUCCCUCUUCGUUUGGAGACAGCCUGAUUACUAGAAAUUAUGCAGGUUCAAAAACGUGGCUCUGUGGGUAGAACUAUUGAUGUCACUCGUUACAAGGGGUACGAUGAACUUAGGCAUGAUCUAGCCCGUAUGUUUGGUAUCAAUGGACUACUUGAAGAUCCACAACGAUCUGAAUGGAAACUUGUCUACGUAGACCAUGAAAAUGACAUGUUACUUGUUGGCGAUGACGCUUGGGAGUAAGUGUUUAGCAACUGUCCUUGUUAUCUUAGUUUUUCGUUGAAAGAACACAAAAAUAACUUUGAAAAUUUUUCUCAGUGAGUUUGUGAGCUGCGUUCAGAGUAUAAAGAUACUGUCCUCUGCUGAGGUACAACAAAUGAGUUUAGAUGGAGAUUUAGCUCAGCCUCCUGCCCCAAACCAAGCACUCAGUGGAACAGACAGUGGUAAUGCUUGGAGAGGACAGUAUGAUGAUAAUUCUGCCAACUCUUUUAAUCGGUGAAAGCAUUGCAGAGAUUAACUUUUAUCAGCAGGAAAUGUUAGAAGGUAGAUGUAAAUUUCUUGUACCAUCGAAUGUUAAAAAGCUUGUCUGAAAUUUUUUGAAGUGCUUGUGCAUUCUUGUAGAAGAAUCAAGAAAACUAUAUAUACUUGACGAAACAAACAAUUUUUUAUUCAACUUUAAAAAAGGGAAAAUUCAGUCCAGUGCCAUCAUUUUCAUUCCUAAAUGGAUGCAACUCCAUAUUCUUUGCACUAAAUUACGCUAAACUGACAGUUCAAGAAAAUAUUCAUUUAGGACUGGAAUUCUUUUGUGAGAUAUCAGAAACUGGAAAAUAAGGACACAGACAAGCAGCUCUUUAAACGACUACAAAGAACAACAAAUGGUUCUCGAACUGAAAAAUCAUUACACUUUGAUUUCUUUCAUUACGCUGCAAAAAGUCGUCAUAUUGAUCCGGAUUACAACAAAUUUCUCAAGUUUCGCUUUUGCUGAACCAACUAAGAAAGGACAGCCAUGACCUCUGAAGCCCUUAGUGCUAUGUAGUUAGAACCGUCACUGCCCUUGAAAUCGUUUCCUGCAUAUUUGGAGUACAAAACUGUGUUCCCGGGGAUAACUGACAAUGGCUUCCUGUUACCUUCCUCAUCAAGGGGGCCAGGCCCGACUGCAAUCACCUGUAAUUGAAGAUGGAAA